Molecule: ribosomal RNA, 253 nt
Filed under: uncultured bacterium
Lineage: Bacteria
Description: partial 16S ribosomal RNA
Rfam family: Bacterial small subunit ribosomal RNA
Source: RNAcentral
UACGAAGGGGGCUAGCGUUGUUCGGAUUUACUGGGCGUAAAGCGCGCGUAGGCGGACAUUUAAGUCAGGGGUGAAAUCCCGAGGCUCAACCUCGGAACUGCCUUUGAUACUGUAUGUCUGGAGUUCGGGAGAGGUGAGUGGAAUUCCGAGUGUAGAGGUGAAAUUCGUAGAUAUUCGGAGGAACACCAGAAGCGAAGGCGGCUCACUGGCCCGAUACUGACGCUGAGGCGCGAAAGCUAGGGGAGCAAACGGG